UUUUCCUCCCGACCCCUUCUCUCUCCUCACUCAGUUCCAAUCUCAGAUCUCUCCAUCUCUAUUGCACCACGAUCUCUAGCAGCUCAGAUCUCUCCAUCUCUAUUGCACCACGAUCUCUAGCAGCUCUCUCAAUCCUUGGUAUCUCAGUUAGCCAUAGCUCGCUCUCUCUCUCUCUCUCUCUCAAAAACCUAGACCCAAAGCACACCGAACACUCAAAUCGGAAAUCCUCAUCUAUAGCAGAUCUCUCCUUACUACUCCUUUUGUCUCACAACUUCAAUUACCUGCUCCAACUUUUCUUCAACAUAUGCCCAGAAACCCUAAUCCCAAAACUUGCCCUAUUCGCUGUAGCAAAUUGAGAAUUCGUUUCAAAGCCGAAGGAUAUAAAUGGUAGAUUGGGAAGUGAAAAUUCAAUUCAUAUUUGGGCAGUAGAUUGGGAAGCAUUUUUACGAUAUCGGCCUAUGUUGGCCACUUUCAUCCACUUCCACCUGUGAUCUCCAUGGAACUGCUUGAUGACAUAAAGAAAAUGCAGUAGUAUGCGGUCCUUUCUUAGUCAAAUUGAGAGCUCCCUGCUAUAAUUUCUCUAGGCUUAACUUGAGUAAUCCCUCCCCUUGUCUCUUACUCAAGAUCAAAUAAUGCAUUUGUUUCAGGCAAACAUUCCUGCUGCUUACCUAAAUGCCAAUAUGGAGUAGAGUGAACAACAGGAGAAAACUCUGAAUAUGUCACCCCUGAAAAAGUUGCCAAAUUUUAAACUAUAUAAUUAUGGAUGGGAACUUGGUUUGCCCUGCAAAGAUGGGAAGAUCUGUAGCUGUAGUUCAAGAGUCGAGACGAAUUCAUGGACAUCCACAAUGAAUACGCUGUGGGUUGAACUUGUAUAGUUAGAUUAUUGUUAGUAGUUAUUUAUU
This is a long non-coding RNA of Rosa rugosa (rugosa rose), 902 nucleotides long. RefSeq lists it as uncharacterized. The record is from RefSeq and is a predicted model, not a curated record. The transcript has 7 exons. NCBI's taxonomy places the organism in Eukaryota, Viridiplantae, Streptophyta, Magnoliopsida, Rosales, Rosaceae.